Molecule: non-coding RNA, 356 nt
Organism: Cinara cedri
Lineage: Eukaryota; Metazoa; Arthropoda; Insecta; Hemiptera; Aphididae
Source: the annotation of a GenBank genome assembly
GGUCCUUUAUUUUCACGUCUAACGGUGUGCGCGUAUAGGUAAGAUACGGCAGUUAGUCAACGAUCCUCGAGGGGAAGAGCAGACUGCAGCGUACACGUAGAGAGCUUAAGUAUCAUAAAGAGCCGAAAAUAAUAGGGAAACAGAAAUAAUAAUAAAGGAAAGAAAAAUAAUAAAUCUUUAGUUGGUAAUUCGAUGAAAAUGUACCUCUAUUUCUCGUACAGAAUUGAAUGGGUUAUUUGAAAUAGGAAACAUGUCCGAAUUUCGUCAUUUUCAGAUUUUUACGUAAAUAUGUUAUUCGUAUACCUAAACUCACCGUUUCGUAAGAAAAUGUGUCAUGUUUCGAAAAUAAAACAUAC